CNNGCCAUGCCGCGUGCAGGAAGANUGCCCUAUGGGUUGUAAACUGCUUUUAUACAGGAAGAAACACUGCUACGUGUAGCAGCUUGACGGUACUGUAAGAAUAAGGAUCGGCUAACUCCGUGCCAGCAGCCGCGGUAAUACGGAGGAUCCAAGCGUUAUCCGGAAUCAUUGGGUUUAAAGGGUCCGUAGGUGGAUAAUUAAGUCAGAGGUGAAAUCCUGCAGCUCAACUGUAGAAUUGCCUUUGAUACUGGUUAUCUUGAGUUAUUAUGAAGUAGUUAGAAUAUGUAGUGUAGCGGUGAAAUGCAUAGAUAUUACAUAGAAUACCAAUUGCGAAGGCAGAUUACUAAUAAUAUACUGACACUGAUGGACGAAAGCGUGGGGAGCGAACAGGAUUAGAUAC
RNAcentral lists this ribosomal RNA (400 nucleotides) under Formosa sp. Asnod3E11. RNAcentral describes it as "bacterial SSU rRNA". It matches the Rfam family "Bacterial small subunit ribosomal RNA", at positions 388 to 785 of the family's 1533-position model. The record is from RNAcentral. Lineage: Bacteria; Pseudomonadati; Bacteroidota; Flavobacteriia; Flavobacteriales; Flavobacteriaceae.